Molecule: ribosomal RNA, 490 nt
Filed under: uncultured bacterium
Lineage: Bacteria
Description: partial 16S ribosomal RNA
Rfam family: Bacterial small subunit ribosomal RNA
Source: RNAcentral
AUUGAACGCUGGCGGCAGGCCUAACACAUGCAAGUCGAACGGUAACAGGAAACAGCUUGCUGUUUCGCUGACGAGUGGCGGACGGGUGAGUAAUGUCUGGGAAACUGCCUGAUGGAGGGGGAUAACUACUGGAAACGGUAGCUAAUACCGCAUAACGUCGCAAGACCAAAGAGGGGGACCCUCGGGCCUCUUGCCAUCGGAUGUGCCCAGAUGGGAUUAGCUUGUUGGCGGGGUAACGGCUCACCAAGGCGACGAUCCCUAGCUGGUCUGAGAGGAUGACCAGCCACACUGGAACUGAGACACGGUCCAGACUCCUACGGGAGGCAGCAGUGGGGAAUAUUGCACAAUGGGCGCAAGCCUGAUGCAGCCAUGCCGCGUGUAUGAAGAAGGCCUUCGGGUUGUAAAGUACUUUCAGCGGGGAGGAAGGGAGUAAAGUUAAUACCUUUGCUCAUUGACGUUACCCGCAGAAGAAGCACCGGCUAACUCCGUG